This 394-nucleotide ribosomal RNA is filed under the name uncultured bacterium. Its description in RNAcentral is "bacterial SSU rRNA". It matches the Rfam family "Bacterial small subunit ribosomal RNA", at positions 29 to 413 of the family's 1533-position model. The record is from RNAcentral.
AACGAACGCUGGCGGCGCGCCCAAUACAUGCAAGUCGAGCGAGAAGACGUAGCAAUACGUUUGUAAAGCGGCGAACGGGUGAGGAAUACAUGGGUAACCUACCCUCGAGUGGGGAAGUAACUAGCCGAAAGGUUAGCUAAUACCGCGUACGCUCCUUGGACUUCGGUUCAGGGAGGAAAGCGAUAUCGUGGGUAUCGCGCUCUUGGAUGGGCUCAUGUCCUACCAGCUUGUUGGUGAGGAACGGCUCACCAAGGCUUCGACGGGUAGCUGGUCUGAGAGGACGAUCAGCCACACUGGCACUGCGACACGGGCCAGACUCCUACGGGAGGCAGCAGUAAGGAAUAUUGCGCAAUGGGCGAAAGCCUGACGCAGCGACGCCGCGUGGGGGAGUGAA